This 253-nucleotide ribosomal RNA is filed under the name uncultured bacterium. Its description in RNAcentral is "partial 16S ribosomal RNA". It matches the Rfam family "Bacterial small subunit ribosomal RNA", at positions 524 to 776 of the family's 1533-position model. The record is from RNAcentral.
UACGUAGGGUGCGAGCGUUGUCCGGAAUUAUUGGGCGUAAAGAGCUCGUAGGCGGUUUGUCGCGUCGACUGUGAAAACUGGGGGCUUAACUCUCAGCUUGCAGUUGAUACGGGCAGACUUGAGUUCGGUAGGGGAGACUGGAAUUCCUGGUGUAGCGGUGAAAUGCGCAGAUAUCAGGAGGAACACCGGUGGCGAAGGCGGUUCUCUGGGAAUGACCUGACGCUGAGGAGCGAAAGUGUGGGGAGCGAACAGG